UUCGUAGCCCGGAUGGAGCGAAGCGCAAUCCGGGGCCGCUGCCUGCGACGACGCAGACCUUCCCGGAUUGCGCUGCGCUCCAUCCGGGCUACAGG
Molecule: non-coding RNA, 95 nt
Filed under: Bradyrhizobium sp. ERR14
Lineage: Bacteria; Pseudomonadati; Pseudomonadota; Alphaproteobacteria; Hyphomicrobiales; Nitrobacteraceae
Also listed under: 3 other names
Source: RNAcentral